GACGGACGCUGGCGGCGUGCUUAACACAUGCAAGUCGAACGGAAAGGCCCUGCUUUUGUGGGGUGCUCGAGUGGCGAACGGGUGAGUAACACGUGAGUAACCUGCCCUUGACUUUGGGAUAACUUCAGGAAACUGGGGCUAAUACCGGAUAGGAGCUCCUGCUGCAUGGUGGGGGUUGGAAAGUUUUGGCGGUUGGGGAUGGACUCGCGGCUUAUCAGCUUGUUGGUGGGGUAGUGGCUUACCAAGGCUUUGACGGGUAGCCGGCCUGAGAGGGUGACCGGCCACAUUGGGACUGAGAUACGGCCCAGACUCCUACGGGAGGCAGCAGUGGGGAAUAUUGCACAAUGGGCGGAAGCCUGAUGCAGCAACGCCGCGUGCGGGAUGACGGCCUUCGGGUUGUAAACCGCUUUCGCCUGUGACGAAGCGUGAGUGACGGUAAUGGGUAAAGAAGCACCGGCUAACUACGUG
Molecule: ribosomal RNA, 468 nt
Filed under: uncultured bacterium
Lineage: Bacteria
Description: partial 16S ribosomal RNA
Rfam family: Bacterial small subunit ribosomal RNA
Source: RNAcentral